RNAcentral lists this transfer RNA (40 nucleotides) under Panthera leo (lion). RNAcentral's name for it is "partial tRNA-His". Lineage: Eukaryota; Metazoa; Chordata; Mammalia; Carnivora; Felidae. The record is from RNAcentral.
UGUGAAUCUAACAAUGGAAGUGCAAAUCUUCUUAUUUACC